Molecule: small RNA, 51 nt
Filed under: Geitlerinema sp. PCC 7407
Lineage: Bacteria; Bacillati; Cyanobacteriota; Cyanophyceae; Geitlerinematales; Geitlerinemataceae
Description: Nitrogen stress-induced RNA 1
Rfam family: Nitrogen stress-induced RNA 1
Source: Rfam by way of RNAcentral
UGGUAGAUGCACCCUGAUACUUAUCCCCGUCCUCAUGCCGGGGAUUUUUUU